This 21-nucleotide transfer RNA is filed under the name Neotoma lepida (desert woodrat). Its description in RNAcentral is "partial tRNA-Pro". The record is from RNAcentral. Lineage: Eukaryota; Metazoa; Chordata; Mammalia; Rodentia; Cricetidae.
CAUUCUUUAUAAANUACUUCC